RNAcentral lists this long non-coding RNA (531 nucleotides) under Oryza sativa (Asian cultivated rice). RNAcentral's name for it is "long non-coding RNA (OSAT_LNC000836)". The record is from RNAcentral. Lineage: Eukaryota; Viridiplantae; Streptophyta; Magnoliopsida; Poales; Poaceae.
UGAUAGCAUUAGCGCAGUAAAUGCAGCUCAAAGACAAACGGGAGAUUUUAGGGGAAGAGAUACGGAGUUUCAAGUGAAUACCGAAAUUUGGGAGUAAAUCUCACCCAACUUUCAGGUUUCAAACGACGAUUUCAACUUAGCUUCACAAUUUGGAAGGAAUUUUAAUUCCAUAUCCUAAUUGAUGGAAUAAACAAUUCAAGUGAGAUUCAUGUUUCGGAACCGUGCUAACACGAAGUCUGAAUUUUCAGAAACAAAGGCUAAAAUGAGUUUCCGAAAUCGCAACCAAGUCUCACGCGCAUUUCAAGCGACUUGGUUGCGAUUUCGGACAUCAAACUUUCAGGUUUCAAACGACGAUUUCAACUUAGCUUCACAAUUUGGAAGGAAUUUUAAUUCCAUAUCCUAAUUGAUGGAAUAAACAAUUCAAGUGAGAUUCAUGUUUCGGAACCGUGCUAACACAAAGUCUGAAUUUUCAGAAACAAAGGCUAAAAUGAGUUUCCGAAAUCGCAACCAAGUCUCACACGCAUUUCGAGC